GACGAACCGUGCAAACGUUGUUCGGAAUCACUGGGCUUAAAGGGCGCGUAGGCGGGCAGGCAAGUCAGGGGUGAAAUCCCACGGCUCAACCGUGGAAGUGCCUUUGAUACUGCCGGUCUUGAGGGAGGUAGGGGCGUGCGGAACUUCCGGUGGAGCGGUGAAAUGCGUAGAUAUCGGAAGGAACACCGGUGGCGAAAGCGGCGCGCUGGACCUCUUCUGACGCUGAGGCGGCGAAAGCUAGGGGAGCGAACGGG
This 254-nucleotide ribosomal RNA is filed under the name uncultured bacterium. RNAcentral's name for it is "partial 16S ribosomal RNA". It matches the Rfam family "Bacterial small subunit ribosomal RNA", at positions 524 to 776 of the family's 1533-position model. The record is from RNAcentral.